GGCCUUGUGGCCCAAUGGAUAAGGCGCCGGGACUACGGAUCAGGAGAUUCCAGGUUCGAGUCCUGGCAGGGUCG
RNAcentral lists this transfer RNA (74 nucleotides) under Nematostella vectensis (starlet sea anemone). It matches the Rfam family "tRNA". From Rfam's summary of the family: Transfer RNA (tRNA) molecules are approximately 80 nucleotides in length. Their secondary structure includes four short double-helical elements and three loops (D, anti-codon, and T loops). Further hydrogen bonds mediate the characteristic L-shaped molecular structure. tRNAs have two regions of fundamental functional importance: the anti-codon, which is responsible for specific mRNA codon recognition, and the 3' end, to which the tRNAs corresponding amino acid is attached (by aminoacyl-tRNA synthetases). tRNAs cope with the degeneracy of the genetic code in two manners: having more than one tRNA (with a specific anti-codon) for a particular amino acid; and 'wobble' base-pairing, i.e. permitting non-standard base-pairing at the 3rd anti-codon position. Lineage: Eukaryota; Metazoa; Cnidaria; Anthozoa; Actiniaria; Edwardsiidae. The record is from Rfam by way of RNAcentral.